UGCGUAGGCGGUGCGGUAAGUCUUCUGUGAAAUCUCCGGGCUCAACUCGGAGUCUGCAGGAGAAACUGCCGUGCUUGAGUAUGGGAGAGGUGAGUGGAAUUCCUGGUGUAGCGGUGAAAUGCGUAGAUAUCAGGAGGAACACCUGUGGCGAAAGCGGCUCACUGGACCAUAACUGACGCUGAGGCACGAAAGCUAGGGGAGCAAACAGGAUUAGAUACCCUGGUAGUCCUAGCCCUAAACGAUGAUUGCUUGGUGUAGCAGGUACCCAAUCCUGCUGUGCCGCAGCUAACGCGUUAAGCAAUCCGCCUGGGGAGUACGGUCGCAAGGCUAGAA
Molecule: ribosomal RNA, 333 nt
Filed under: uncultured bacterium
Lineage: Bacteria
Description: bacterial SSU rRNA
Rfam family: Bacterial small subunit ribosomal RNA
Source: RNAcentral